UACAGAGGGUGCGAGCGUUAAUCGGAAUUACUGGGCGUAAAGCGCACGUAGUCGGCUUUGCAAGUCGGGUGUGAAAUCCCCGGGCUCAACCUGGGAACUGCAUCCGAGACUGCAUUGCUAGAGUAUGGGAGAGGGAAGCGGAACUCCGAGUGUAGAGGUGAAAUUCGUAGAUAUUCGGAAGAACACCAGUGGCGAAGGCGACUCACUGGCCCGAUACUGACGCUGAGGCGCGAAAGCGUGGGGAGCAAACAGG
RNAcentral lists this ribosomal RNA (253 nucleotides) under uncultured bacterium. RNAcentral describes it as "partial 16S ribosomal RNA". It matches the Rfam family "Bacterial small subunit ribosomal RNA", at positions 524 to 776 of the family's 1533-position model. The record is from RNAcentral.